UACAGAGGUGGCAAGCGUUGUUCGGAAUUACUGGGCGUAAAGGGCGCGUAGGCGGUUCGUUAAGUCCUGUGUGAAAUCCCUCAGCUUAACUGGGGAACUGCGUCUGAUACUGGAUGGCUUGAGUUUGGGAGAGGGAUGCGGAAUUCCAGGUGUAGCGGUGAAAUGCGUAGAUAUCUGGAGGAACACCGGUGGCGAAGGCGGCAUCCUGGACCAACACUGACACUGAGGAGCGAAAGCCAGGGGAGCAAACGGG
RNAcentral lists this ribosomal RNA (253 nucleotides) under uncultured bacterium. RNAcentral describes it as "partial 16S ribosomal RNA". It matches the Rfam family "Bacterial small subunit ribosomal RNA", at positions 524 to 776 of the family's 1533-position model. The record is from RNAcentral.